AAUCAAGCGCGAGAAGGGCGUUUGGUGGAUGCCUUGGCAGUAAGAGGCGAUGAAGGACGUGAUACUCUGCGAUAAGCCAUGAGGAGCUGAGAAUAAGCUGUGAUCCAUGGAUUUCCGAAUGGGGCAACCCACCUGACAGUUUGUUAUAAUUGCCUUUUGGCAGUUUAUAACGGGCUGAAACAGGUACUUUUUGACUGAAUACAUAGGUCUUAAAGAGCAAACCCGGAGAACUGAAACAUCUAAGUACCCGGAGGAAAGGACAGCAAUAGCGACUCCCCUAGUAGCGGCGAGCGAACGGGGACCAGCCGAGCCCAAUAAGUGACCAGAAUGCGUUGGGAAGCGCAGCCAGAGCGGGUGACAGCCCCGUAUGGGAAGCUUUGAGGGACGUAUCAAGUAGGGCGGAACACGUGAAAUUCUGUCUGAAGAUCGGAGGACCACCUUCGAAGGCUAAGUACUCCUUACUGACCGAUAGCGAACCAGUACCGUGAGGGAAAGGUGAAAAGCACCCCGACGAGGGGAGUGAAACAGUACCUGAAACCGAACGCCUACAAUCAGUCGGAGGGGCAUAAGCCCUGACGGCGUACCUUUUGUAUAAUGGGUCAUCGACUUGGUCUAUCUAGCAAGCUUAAGCCGUUAGGUGUAGGCGCAGCGAAAGCGAGUCUUAAUAGGGCGUUGAGUUAGAUGGAUCAGACCCGAAACCGAGUGAUCUAGGCAUGACCAGGAUGAAGGUUGGGUAACACCAACUGGAGGUCCGAACCCACACCUGUUGAAAAAGGUCGGGAUGAGUUGUGCCUAGGGGUGAAAGGCCAAUCAAACUCGGAGAUAGCUGGUUCUCUGCGAAAUCUAUUUAGGUAGAGCGUCAUCCGAAUACCCUCGGGGGUAGAGCACUGGAUGGGUAAUGGGGCCCCACAGGCUUACUGAUCCUAACCAAACUCCGAAUACCGAGGAGUACUAGAUGGCAGACAGACGGCGGAUGCUAACGUCCGUCGUCGAGAGGGAAACAACCCUGACCUCCGGCUAAGGCCCCCAAUUCAUGGCUAAGUGGGAAAGCAGGUGGGACGACCAAAACAACCAGGAGGUUGGCUUAGAAGCAGCCAUCCUUUAAAGAUAGCGUAACAGCUCACUGGUCUAAAUAAGUUGUCCUGCGGCGAAGAUGUAACGGGGCUCAAGCCAUGAGCCGAAGCCGAGGAUGCCGUAAGGCAUGGUAGCAGAGCGUAGUGUGACAUGGUUUCUAUCCUCUUUAGUGUCCUUCGGGGCACCAUGGAGGAGAAGAAAUCUUCGAUGAAGCGGGCCUGUGAGGGAUCCCGUGGAGAGAUCACUAGUGAGAAUGAUGACAUGAGUAGCGACAAAGAGUGUGAGAGACACUCUCGCCGAAAGUCCAAGGGUUCCUGCUUAAAGCUAAUCUGAGCAGGGUAAGCCGACCCCUAAGGCGAGGCCGAAAGGCGUAGUCGAUGGGAACCAGGUUAAUAUUCCUGGGCCAGAUGGAAGUGACGGAUCUCAAAGGUUGUUCGUUCUUAUCGGAUUGAACGGGCCGCUGAGAGGUUCCUGGAAAUAGCUCCAUCGCUAGAUCGUACCCGAAACCGACACAGGUGGACUGGUAGAGAAUACCAAGGCGCUUGAGAGAACUACGUUGAAGGAACUCGGCAAAAUACCUCCGUAAGUUCGCGAGAAGGAGGCCCGGUUCCUAGGCAACUAGGGGCUGGGGGCACAAACCAGGGGGUGGCGACUGUUUACUAAAAACACAGGGCUCUGCGAAGUCGCAAGACGACGUAUAGGGUCUGACGCCUGCCCGGUGCCUGAAGGUUAAAAGGAGGGGUGAGAGCUCUGAAUUGAAGCCCAGGUAAACGGCGGCCGUAACUAUAACGGUCCUAAGGUAGCGAAAUUCCUUGUCGGGUAAGUUCCGACCUGCACGAAUGGCGUAACGACUUCCCCGCUGUCUCCAACGUAGACUCAGCGAAAUUGAAUUGCCUGUCAAGAUGCAGGCUUCCCGCGGUUAGACGGAAAGACCCCGUGCACCUUUACUAUAGCUUCGCACUGGCAUCAGGAUUGUGAUGUGCAGGAUAGGUGGUAGGCUUUGAAGCAGGGACGCUAGUCCCCGUGGAGCCUCCCUUGAGAUACCACCCUUCGCACUCUUGAUGUCUAACCGCGGCCCGUUAUCCGGGUCCGGGACCCUGCGUGGUGGGUAGUUUGACUGGGGCGGUCGCCUCCUAAAGCGUAACGGAGGCGCGCGAAGGUUGGCUCAGAGCGGUCGGAAAUCGCUCGUUGAGUGCAAUGGCAGAAGCCAGCCUGACUGCGAGACUGACAAGUCGAGCAGAGUCGAAAGACGGCCAUAGUGAUCCGGUGGUCCCAAGUGGGAGGGCCAUCGCUCAACGGAUAAAAGGUACGCCGGGGAUAACAGGCUGAUACUGCCCAAGAGUCCAUAUCGACGGCAGUGUUUGGCACCUCGAUGUCGGCUCAUCUCAUCCUGGGGCUGGAGCAGGUCCCAAGGGUACGGCUGUUCGCCGUUUAAAGAGGUACGUGAGCUGGGUUUAGAACGUCGUGAGACAGUUCGGUCCCUAUCUGCCGUGGGUGUAGGAUACUUGAGAGGAGUUGCCCCUAGUACGAGAGGACCGGGGUGAACGAACCACUGGUGGACCUGUUGUGGCGCCAGCCGCAGUGCAGGGUAGCUAUGUUCGGACAGGAUAACCGCUGAAGGCAUCUAAGCGGGAAGCCCCCCUCAAAACAAGGUAUCCCUGAGGGCCGUGGUAGACCACCACGUCGAUAGGCCGGAGAUGUAAGCGCAGCAAUGCGUUCAGUUGACCGGUACUAAUGGCCCGAUAGGCUUGAUUUG
Molecule: non-coding RNA, 2830 nt
Organism: Roseovarius mucosus DSM 17069
Lineage: Bacteria; Pseudomonadati; Pseudomonadota; Alphaproteobacteria; Rhodobacterales; Roseobacteraceae
Source: Rfam